GAUCUUAUAGUUUAUAUAAAAUAUAAAGUUGCAAACUUUGAGAUACAAUUAAGUGUGUUAAGAUUU
Molecule: transfer RNA, 66 nt
Filed under: Histioteuthis reversa
Lineage: Eukaryota; Metazoa; Mollusca; Cephalopoda; Oegopsida; Histioteuthidae
Description: tRNA-Cys
Source: RNAcentral